Molecule: ribosomal RNA, 515 nt
Filed under: uncultured bacterium
Lineage: Bacteria
Description: partial 16S ribosomal RNA
Rfam family: Bacterial small subunit ribosomal RNA
Source: RNAcentral
GAUGAACGCUGGCGGCGUGCCUAAUACAUGCAAGUCGAGCGAACAGAUGAGAAGCUUGCUUCUCUGAUGUUAGCGGCGGACGGGUGAGUAACACGUGGGUAACCUACCUAUAAGACUGGGAUAACUCCGGGAAACCGGUGCUAAUACCGAAUAGUUUCUGACACCUCAUGGUGUCAGAGGGAAAGUUGGCUUUUAGCUAACACUUACGGAUGGGCCCGCGGCGCAUUAGCUAGUUGGUGAGGUAACGGCUCACCAAGGCGACGAUGCGUAGCCGACCUGAGAGGGUGAUCGGCCACACUGGGACUGAGACACGGCCCAGACUCCUACGGGAGGCAGCAGUAGGGAAUCUUCCGCAAUGGACGAAAGUCUGACGGAGCAACGCCGCGUGAGUGAAGAAGGUUUUCGGAUCGUAAAACUCUGUUGUUAGGGAAGAACAAGUAUCGGAGUAACUGCCGGUACCUUGACGGUACCUGACCAGAAAGCCACGGCUAACUACGUGCCAGCCGCCGCAGUAA